GACGAACGCUGGCGGCGUGCUUAACACAUGCAAGUCGAACGGACCGGCCCUGCUUUUGUGGGGUGCUCGAGUGGCGAACGGGUGAGUAACCCGUGAGUAACCUGCCCUUGACUUUGGGAUAACUUCAGGAAACUGGGGCUUAUACCGGAUAGGAGCUCCUGCUGCAUGGUGGGGGUUGGAAAGUUUCGGCGGUUGGGGAUGGACUCGCGGCUUAUCAGCUUGUUGGUGGGGUAGUGGCUUACCAAGGCUUUGACGGGUAGCCGGCCUGAGAGGGUGACCGGCCACAUUGGGACUGAGAGACGGCCCAGACUCCUACGGGAGGCAGCAGUGGGGAAUAUGGCAGAAGGGGCGGAAGCCUGAUGCAGCAACGGCGCGUGCGGGAUGACGGCCUUCGGGUUGGAAACCGCUUUCGCCUGUGACGAAGCGUGAGUGACGGUAAUGGGUAAAGAAGCACCGGCUAACUACGUG
This 468-nucleotide ribosomal RNA is filed under the name uncultured bacterium. RNAcentral's name for it is "partial 16S ribosomal RNA". It matches the Rfam family "Bacterial small subunit ribosomal RNA", at positions 28 to 507 of the family's 1533-position model. The record is from RNAcentral.